Molecule: long non-coding RNA, 222 nt
Filed under: Elaeis guineensis (African oil palm)
Lineage: Eukaryota; Viridiplantae; Streptophyta; Magnoliopsida; Arecales; Arecaceae
Description: long non-coding RNA (EGUI_LNC046012)
Source: RNAcentral
GGGUCCCCCUUUUAUAGGCGGAGGGAGCAACAGACUGAUAGCGAUGUCUGUAACCGUCUGGCAGUGGGCUGCCCAGAGUCAUGGGGAGUUUGUUGCGAAGAGUAGUGGGGUGGAAUCGUGGCUAUCACCGGGACACGCCACGUGGAGUCUGUCACGGGGAGUGGAGCGGCGUCCAUUGUCGUGACUUACCAGAGGAUGGAAGAAUCGCGCGGUAUCCAUCGC